This 402-nucleotide ribosomal RNA is filed under the name uncultured bacterium. Its description in RNAcentral is "partial 16S ribosomal RNA". It matches the Rfam family "Bacterial small subunit ribosomal RNA", at positions 355 to 774 of the family's 1533-position model. The record is from RNAcentral.
UGGGGAAUAUUGGACAAUGGGCGAAAGCCUGAUCCAGCCAUGCCGCAUGAGUGAAGAAGGCCUUUGGGUUGUAAAGCUCUUUUAGUGAGGAAGAUAAUGACGGUACUCACAGAAGAAGUCCUGGCUAACUCCGUGCCAGCAGCCGCGGUAAUACGGAGAGGGCUAGCGUUAUUCGGAAUUAUUGGGCGUAAAGGGCGCGUAGGCUGGUUAAUAAGUUAAAAGUGAAAUCCCGAGGCUUAACCUUGGAAUUGCUUUUAAAACUAUUAAUCUAGAGAUUGAAAGAGGAUAGAGGAAUUCCUGAUGUAGAGGUAAAAUUCGUAAAUAUUAGGAGGAACACCGGUGGCGAAGGCGUCUAUCUGGUUCAAAUCUGACGCUGGAGCGCGAAGGCGUGGGGAGCAAACA